This is a ribosomal RNA of Prolemur simus (greater bamboo lemur), 113 nucleotides long. Lineage: Eukaryota; Metazoa; Chordata; Mammalia; Primates; Lemuridae. The record is from Ensembl.
UCCACGGCCACACCCCCCUGCACACGCCUGAUCUCCUCUAACCUUGGAAGCUAAGCAGGGUCGGGCCUGGCUAGUACUUGGAUGGGAGGAAAAAAUGGGGGUUGCAGCAGGAU